Molecule: ribosomal RNA, 484 nt
Filed under: uncultured bacterium
Lineage: Bacteria
Description: partial 16S ribosomal RNA
Rfam family: Bacterial small subunit ribosomal RNA
Source: RNAcentral
AUUGAACGCUGGCGGCAGGCCUAACACAUGCAAGUCGAGCGGAAGAAGGGAGCUUGCGCCUGGAUUCAGCGUCGGACGGGUGAGUAAUGCCCAGGAAUCUGCCUGGUAGUGGGGGAUAACGUCCGGAAACGGGCGCUAAUACCGCAUACGUCCUGAGGGUGAAAGUGGGGGAUCUUCGGACAUCACGCUAUCAGAUGAGCCUAGGUCGGAUUAGCUAGUUGGUGGGGUAAAGGCCUACCAAGGCGACGAUCCGUAACUGGUCUGAGAGGAUGAUCAGUCACACGGGAACUGAGACACGGUCCAGACUACUACGGGAGGCAGCAGUGGGGAAUAUUGGACAAUGGUCGAAAGCCUGAUGCAGCCAUGCCGCGUGUGUGACGAAGGUCUUCGGAUUGUAAAGCACUGUAAGUUGGGAGGAAGGGCUGUAAGUUAAGACCUUGCUGUUUUGACGUUACCGACAGAAUAAGCACCGGCUAACUACGUG